ACGCCGGGCCUUUUGGCUAAGAUCAAGUGUAGUAUCUGAAUUUUAUCAGUUUAAUGAUUCGAUACGUCCCCAUCUGGGGACCAUAUAUUAAAUUGAUUUUUGGAACAGGGAGAUGGAAUAGGGCUUGCUCCUCAUCUAAUUCCACGAUCGCAUCUGGUAUUGCAGUACUCCAGGAGCUGUGUGCACUUUCU
Polypterus senegalus (gray bichir) is the source of this 191-nucleotide small nuclear RNA. RefSeq annotates it as U2 spliceosomal RNA. The transcript has a single exon. NCBI's taxonomy places the organism in Eukaryota, Metazoa, Chordata, Cladistia, Polypteriformes, Polypteridae. The record is from RefSeq and is a predicted model, not a curated record.